RNAcentral lists this ribosomal RNA (501 nucleotides) under uncultured bacterium. Its description in RNAcentral is "bacterial SSU rRNA". It matches the Rfam family "Bacterial small subunit ribosomal RNA", at positions 21 to 518 of the family's 1533-position model. The record is from RNAcentral.
GGCUCAGGACGAACGCUGGCGGCGUGCUUAACACAUGCAAGUCGAACGAAGCUUGAUUCGGAGUCCUUCGGGAUGAAGAAAGAUAUGACUGAGUGGCGGACGGGUGAGUAACGCGUGAGUAACCUGCCUUUCAGAGGGGAAUAACGUUUGGAAACGAACGCUAAUACCGCAUAACAUCGGGAUAUCGCAUGGUGACCCGAUCAAAGAUUUUAUCGCUGAGAGAUGGACUCGCGUCCGAUUAGGUAGUUGGUGGGGUAAAGGCCUACCAAGCCGACGAUCGGUAGCCGGACUGAGAGGUUGAACGGCCACAUUGGGACUGAGACACGGCCCAGACUCCUACGGGAGGCAGCAGUGGGGAAUAUUGCACAAUGGGCGCAAGCCUGAUGCAGCAACGCCGCGUGAGGGAAGACGGUCUUCGGAUUGUAAACCUUUGUCUUUGGUGAAGAAGGAAGUGACGGUAGCCAAGGAGGAAGCCACGGCUAACUGCGUGCCAGCAGCCGC